CACAUUCUGUGUGUGUGUUUGGUGUCGCCUGGAGAACAAGGAAAAAGGGGAAAAACCCCUUACUAUCAUAAAAUCCAGCAAUCAAAGAGGAGAAUGGAAGAUAAUCAAAUGCAUGUUCAUCAAUUCUAAUCAUCUUAACAUUCUAGACAUAAGGAAUUAAGGAAGAAAGCUCAAGUCGUACCGGGUCACAAACGAACAACGACAAAGGUAAAGCGACUUGUUAAAUGGCGUCACUUGGAUCGAACACAUUCAUGAUGCACGCUUCCGUGAAGAAACUAGUUGUAGUCAAAAAUUUUGUUAAAUGCUCUCCUUUUUGUUCCAAACGGGUCUUUUGUAAGUUGUAUGAUUCGAAAGUAGUAGAUGUUGAAUUUGUAGUUAAAAGACUAUGUUAGUAGUUUAUGUAAAGUUUGGGUUAAAAACUUUUGUAGUCGUUAUGUUGUUCGUCACCAAGUUAAAUGCAGAAUUUUGGUUUGUAAAUUA
This is a long non-coding RNA of Helianthus annuus (common sunflower), 480 nucleotides long. RefSeq lists it as uncharacterized. NCBI's taxonomy places the organism in Eukaryota, Viridiplantae, Streptophyta, Magnoliopsida, Asterales, Asteraceae. The record is from RefSeq and is a predicted model, not a curated record. The transcript is spliced from 3 exons.